CAGGGUUAUAGACAGGGUUAUAGACCAGGGUUAUAGACAGGGUUAUAGAGGGUUUAGGCUAGGGAUAGGAUACAGGGUUAUAGACAGGGUUAUAGACAGAGUUAUAGACAGGGUUAUAGACAGAGUUAUAGACAGGGUUAUAGGGGGUUUAGGCUAGGGCUAGGAUACAGGGUUAUAGACAGGGUUAUAGACAGGGUUAUAGACAGGAUUAUAGACAGGGUUAUAGACAGGGUUAUAGACAGGGUUAUAUGCAGGGUUAUAUGCAGGGUUAUAUGCAGGGUUAUAGAGGUUCUAGGCAGGGUUAUAGAGGUUCUAGGCUAGGGACAGGAUAUAUGUUAUAGACAGGGUUAUAUGCAGGGUUAUUAUAGACAGGGUUAUAGUAGAGGUAUACUCAGUAGCAAGCUGACCCAGCUAAUUAGUUAGGUAGUGUAUACCCAGUAGCCAG
RNAcentral lists this long non-coding RNA (445 nucleotides) under Salmo salar (Atlantic salmon). RNAcentral's name for it is "lncRNA (ENSSSAG00000108218.1)". Lineage: Eukaryota; Metazoa; Chordata; Actinopteri; Salmoniformes; Salmonidae. The record is from RNAcentral.